GGAGGCAAGGCUCAAGUGGUAGAGUGCCUGCCUGGCAAGCACAAGGCCUGGUGUUCAAAUCCCAGUACCUCUG
This 73-nucleotide transfer RNA is filed under the name Dipodomys ordii (Ord's kangaroo rat). It matches the Rfam family "tRNA". From Rfam's summary of the family: Transfer RNA (tRNA) molecules are approximately 80 nucleotides in length. Their secondary structure includes four short double-helical elements and three loops (D, anti-codon, and T loops). Lineage: Eukaryota; Metazoa; Chordata; Mammalia; Rodentia; Heteromyidae. The record is from Rfam by way of RNAcentral.